GCUGUUCAUCCCCUCCCUCUUUUCGAUCCCCAGCUUCCUCCUCUUCCUCCUCCAGCUCCAACUGCAGUGGCAAGGUCUGGGGAUUGAGAGGCCCGGCAUGACUAAGAGAUAUCGUGAAAUUACAACUCAACAAUGAAUUACAGCACAGGCUUUUCACAACUAAGAGACUGUCCAUCAUGGUGCCAGUUUUUCUCAAAAUGGCAUGUGUGCAUGAAAUUCUACAGGCAUAUGGGGUCGUGAUCUGCUAAUCUCCAGUUAUUAUAGAAUUUAGACAUGAAAGAGUGGAAUAUAUUCUGUUUUAAAAAUAUUAUUGCAAAUUGUUGCACCUGUGCAUCUCUUCCAGACUACUUUGAAAAGGGACUUUCCAGCUAUCAGUACACUAUCUCACAAUUACCCUUGAACCAGAAGACAAUGAAUGAUUUGCUAAACAGAUGGCAUAGUCUAUGACAUGCAUCAUAUGUGUGAGCAAUCACAGAAGGUAUGACUUUUCUCAUGAAAUAUUUUCAGACAAAUAUUUUAAGUUAAUCUAACAUUCACUAAAUCUACCUACUGAUUUUAGGUAGAUUUUCUUUCUCCAAAUAUACAUUUUUAAAUAAAAAUUUUCAUUGUAUUGCAUUGUAUUUUAUUGGUUAUCAACAGCACCAUGUUCUUAGUUUUUUUAAAAAAAAUGUUUAAUGAGUUGUAAUAUUUGUGUCUUUAAGCAAGGGGUUCCCUCAUUUUUCCUGUCUUUUCUGGCUUGAUUUGAAGUUAUUCCUGGGUAUCAAUAUUCUACACACAUUGUCUACUGCUUACCUCCAACACAGCAGUUUUCACUGUCAUGUAAUUAUUUGUUUGCUCAUCGCUCUUCCCCAUGACCAUCAACUCCUUGAAGGUAGGGCCAUUAUUUAUACAUCUUAUAACUGAAGCUUACAGCAUCAGAUCAGUUAUAUGAUCAGAACACAAUGUUUGUUGUAGAAUAAAUGAAUAAACUUUGUUAAUUCACUCAGGUCUAACUAGUCUCCUACAUGAUGAAAUAUAGCUAAGAAAAUUCAAAGUAGAGUUCCACAAAAGAAAAACAAAGUAAAUAUCAAUUUAUUAAUUUAUAAUUUGAUCCAAAGACCAAUUUCCAAGAGGCUCUCUCAGGUACCAAAUUGCUGAAGUCCUUUUCUAGGACAUCUCCCUUCCUGGUGUCAAAGUACGUGGAAAACUGAAGCUUUAAGCAAAAGAUGGCUUGGGUAUAUAUUUAACCUAGCUUCUGUUGAAGCAUCACUAGUCUGCAAAUACCACAUUUCUCUAGUGACCAUCUUCAUGUCUCUGAGCCUUAAAGAAUACUGGUUAAAACACUAACAGAUAUUAUGUUUCUGAAUAUGUGCUUUAUUUGCUAGUUAUCCUAUUUCUAAUGACAUAUUCAGUAGAUUUGUUUAUGUUGUAAAAUGAAGUGCUAUCAAUUUAUUGUUAUCAUGAACAGUCAGAAUAAA
Long non-coding RNA from Homo sapiens (human), 1457 nucleotides. Ensembl annotates it as RNF217 antisense RNA 1 (head to head). Its record names the gene RNF217-AS1. The record is from Ensembl. Lineage: Eukaryota; Metazoa; Chordata; Mammalia; Primates; Hominidae.